UACGGAGGGAGCAAGCGUUACUCGGAAUUAUUGGGCGUAAAGGGCGCGUAGGCGAUCUGAUAAGUCUCGUGUGAAAUCCCAGUGCUUAACGCAGGAAUGGCACGGGAAACUGUUGGAUUUGAGUUCCGGAGAGGAAGGCAGAAUUCCCGGUGUAGCGGUGAAAUGCGUAGAUAUCGGGAGGAAUACCAGUGGCGAAGGCGGCCUUCUGGACGGAUACUGACGCUGAGGCGCGAAAGCCAGGGGAGCGAACGGG
This 253-nucleotide ribosomal RNA is filed under the name uncultured Acidobacteriota bacterium. RNAcentral's name for it is "uncultured Acidobacteria bacterium partial 16S ribosomal RNA". It matches the Rfam family "Bacterial small subunit ribosomal RNA", at positions 524 to 776 of the family's 1533-position model. The record is from RNAcentral. Lineage: Bacteria; Pseudomonadati; Acidobacteriota.